UCUUAGCUACCAUUCAAGUAGUUACGUCAGUGCAUAGAGAUAAUUCCUGUAUCCAGUUCCUUGGCCACUGUGGCGUUAGGUGAUAGGAAAAAUAUAAAAAGAGGAGUCAUUAUGCUUAGGAAGACACUGGACUGCAACAAUCACAAAACAUGGUAAUCAAAUCCAGUUUAAUAGCACUAAGCACUUAAAACAUUUGUGAUGCUGACUUAUUCUUUUCUUUCAAAGAAAUCCUGUUAAGAACGAAAGAUCCUCUAUGUGAUUUCGUGACUUGACGGUUGUACGUCUUCUAUUGCAAAGUUAGUAGGCUCAUACAACCAUCCUAAAGUUAUACAGAGGUGAAGAGUUACUUCACUGGAACUGCAAUUUUGCUCAAAUCGGACAUCGGAAGUACUGUGCAUGAAGGUAAGUAUUAUUUUCUCUCAAAGUGACCUCUCCCAUGAACAUUGGAGGCCUCUUAAGAUAUGACCUCUUAAUUUCGUAGCCACACUUGAGUUCUGAAAUUGUAUAGACAGUUCUCAUUUGUUCAUAGGUCAAUCUCUUCAUUCCAGCUCUAACACUGUUGAGUUCUUCUUACUGACAUUCAGUAUCAACGUGCUCUUGUUCAUUGGCAAUGAAAACUUCCUAAUGCGGACUUCCAACUCUUCUACUCUAGUAGAGCGGAAAUGGUCAGCAUGACGAAUAUUAUUAUUAUUUUCACUUUAGUACAAGUACACCCCGCUGGCCACUAAAGACCUUAUGUACAAUGAAACUUACCUGCAGUCUUCUUGUAUUAUGCUUCACCCCAUGUAAUGUAGUGAAAGUAGAUCACACUCUUGCAACAAAAUCCCGAAAGAAAAUCUCAUUCAAACACUACAAAAAUACCAAACGACCAACGAGAGAGCGACACACAAAAUGACGUACAUAUGUAGGUGUAUAUAUCAUCAAACAUUUCUUAAAUGGCCACGGAUUUACCACUAGGUUUUGUUGGUUCCAACAACAGACUCAUAGGAAAUUGGAAAAUGUAUACAUCUGUUGACAUUAGGUAAAAACAGAAGUUUUUGUGGUGUUUGUUACACGUUGCUAUCCAAGCCACACUAUGAUACUCGUUAACGCUACUACAGCCAAUUAGGUUUCACAUAUCUCUUAUCGUCUUAAUAUCAUCUCUGUUGAAAUUGCUACAUCAUUUCCUUCACCGUUUCUCUUGGAAUCGUUACCUCCUUCACACAGUUGUGUUAAUUGUGGACUCACACAUUCGUAGAAUUUUUUAAAAGACUUCAUAUUCCCAGUGACUGUACAUUUAUUAUAAUAUCCACUAUUGCAGCUUCGACUUUCUGGUCAUUUUCAAGUGGUUACGGGCGCUGAAGAGUCGGCAGUAGUCAUCGUUCAUAAAGAGAAUAAAAACGACUUGAAUCUCUAUGGCUCGUGUCAGCCUUUGUCGCACUCACCAUCGUUAUGUGACAGAUAGAAUAGGAUAAAAACACGUUAAUGCUGACUACUACUGCGUUUUCAGCACCCGUAACCAUUUGAAAAUGACUAAAAGGUCGAAACUGCAAUAAUGAGUAUUGUAACAAACGUAUAGUCUUGGUGAAUAUGAAGUAUUAAAAAAAAAAGGCGUAACCUCCUAGUUUCAUCAGUCAGGUGACAUUCUCUCUCUGUUGAGUUACACUCCGUCGAUAGUCUAUCGUUUCGAUCAGGAGUAUCAUUGUGUUAUGUGUCUGUCAUCGUAAUAAGUUUAUUUGUUGAUUACAGUAGUACAGCUGUGCCAAUGGAGAUAAGCAUUUAGCAAUCGACUGGAAGGAGGCAGUCCUCAGAGCUAACGAGAUACCACAGCUCACUGUUGGUGAUGCCGCGGCUCCAGUUUGGUUUUUGACCAGCCGUAACAGGAGCCGCAAACGACGUUCACCUCGCAAAGUCCAAGGAUGUCUCCACUGGACAGUCAUCUGCAUCAUGUAGCAGCCUACCACAACGUGAAUAUGAGGCGGCUGUGGCUGCAGCGGCGACGUCUGAGGAGAAAGUGGCGGACUGAAAGUGCUUUGAGGGCCCGCGGUGAAUGGCUGCGGGUGGCCCGGACGUCGUCAAUGGCAGCUCAGUGUUGGUGUUGAUGCUGACUUGUCAACAACGGCAUCAUUCUCACUUGUAAUGGAGUCAUCUGUUACACUUCUGAACUAAUAUGGACGGAGGUGCAUAGAGGAAUUCCGUGCCACUUAAAAGAGGUUGUCGUGAGUGAAGCAUAAUGAUAACGCUUCAAGAAAAGGCUCAGUGUGUGGAAUGGUUCACUUAGAUCAAAUCGGAAGAAUAGAGUCAAAGGGAACUUCCAGGCACGGUAUCGGAAACACCCACCCUCGCAGACGUCGGUACGCAGGUGGUACAGACGUUUGAUGCACACAGCAAGCGUUGAUUUGAAGCAUAGUGGACGACGUGGAACAAGUGAACCCGAAACAGGAUGGAUACGGUAGGCAUUUCAACGUUCUCCACGGAAGUCUGUUCAGAGUUCAUCGCAGCAGCUGCAAAUCCCUGGAGCGACAGUGCAUCGGGUCCUUCGGCAACGUGUGCGUGUGUAUCCAUGCCGGCUGCAGUUGUUAUAAGUAUUGACACCAGAUUACGAGCCACAACGUAUGCAGUUCGUCGUGGACGUUCUUUACAGUUUAGAGAAGGAUAGAUAUUUUCUAAACAACCUAGAAUUUUCUGACGGAGAAACAUAUCACUUGUGUGGUACGGUAAACAAACACAAUGUUUGCGUUUGGGGCACAAUCAAUCCUCCGCAUACUGUGACGGAUGAAGUACGAGGCCUGUUCAGAAAGUAAGCUCCGAUUGAUUGCCAAAUUGAAACCACAGUGAACAUCAGAAAUGUUUUACUUGUAACAAUUAGCUACACCUUUCAGCUACUUUUCUACGUAGUCGCCGUUCUGACUUAGACUUUUGUCAUAGCGUUGUACCAACUUUUCAAUAGCCUCAUCAUAGAAGGCAGCCCCCAGUGCUUUCCGCCAAUUCUCC
Molecule: long non-coding RNA, 2973 nt
Organism: Schistocerca serialis cubense
Lineage: Eukaryota; Metazoa; Arthropoda; Insecta; Orthoptera; Acrididae
Exons: 4
Source: RefSeq, a predicted model, not a curated record